RNAcentral lists this ribosomal RNA (1345 nucleotides) under uncultured bacterium. RNAcentral's name for it is "partial 16S ribosomal RNA". It matches the Rfam family "Bacterial small subunit ribosomal RNA", at positions 28 to 1381 of the family's 1533-position model. The record is from RNAcentral.
GACGAACGCUGGCGGCGUGCUUAACACAUGCAAGUCGAACGGAAAGGCCCUGCUUUUGUGGGGUGCUCGAGUGGCGAACGGGUGAGUAACACGUGAGUAACCUGCCCUUGACUUUGGGAUAACUUCAGGAAACUGGGGCUAAUACCGGAUAGGAGCUCCUGCUGCAUGGUGGGGGUUGGAAAGUUUCGGCGGUUGGGGAUGGACUCGCGGCUUAUCAGCUUGUUGGUGGGGUAGUGGCUUACCAAGGCUUUGACGGGUAGCCGGCCUGAGAGGGUGACCGGCCACAUUGGGACUGAGAUACGGCCCAGACUCCUACGGGAGGCAGCAGUGGGGAAUAUUGCACAAUGGGCGGAAGCCUGAUGCAGCAACGCCGCGUGCGGGAUGACGGCCUUCGGGUUGUAAACCGCUUUCGCCUGUGACGAAGCGUGAGUGACGGUAAUGGGUAAGAAGCACCGGCUAACUACGUGCCAGCAGCCGCGGUGAUACGUAGGGUGCGAGCGUUGUCCGGAUUUAUUGGGCGUAAAGGGCUCGUAGGUGGUUGAUCGCGUCGGAAGUGUAAUCUUGGGGCUUAACCCUGAGCGUGCUUUCGAUACGGGUUGACUUGAGGAAGGUAGGGGAGAAUGGAAUUCCUGGUGGAGCGGUGGAAUGCGCAGAUAUCAGGAGGAACACCAGUGGCGAAGGCGGUUCUCUGGGCCUUUCCUGACGCUGAGGAGCGAAAGCGUGGGGAGCGAACAGGCUUAGAUACCCUGGUAGUCCACGCUGUAAACGGUGGGUACUAGGUGUGGGGUCCAUUCCACGGGUUCCGUGCCGUAGCUAACGCUUUAAGUACCCCGCCUGGGGAGUACGGCCGCAAGGCCAAAACUCAAAGGAAUUGACGGGGCCCCGCACAAGCGGCGGAGCAUGCGGAUUAAUUCGAUGCAACGCGUAGAACCUUACCUGGGUUUGACAUGGAUCGGGAGUGCUCAGAGAUGGGUGUGCCUCUUUUGGGGUCGGUUCACAGGUGGUGCAUGGCUGUCGUCAGCUCGUGUCGUGAGAUGUUGGGUUAAGUCCCGCAACGAGCGCAACCCUUGUUCACUGUUGCCAGCACGUUAUGGUGGGGACUCAGUGGAGACCGCCGGGGUCAACUCGGAGGAAGGUGGGGAUGACGUCAAGUCAUCAUGCCCCUUAUGUCCAGGGCUUCACGCAUGCUACAAUGGCUGGUACAGAGAGUGGCGAGCCUGUGAGGGUGAGCGAAUCUCGGAAAGCCGGUCUCAGUUCGGAUUGGGGUCUGCAACUCGACCUCAUGAAGUCGGAGUCGCUAGUAAUCGCAGAUCAGCAACGCUGCGGUGAAUACGUUCCCGGGGCU